This 468-nucleotide ribosomal RNA is filed under the name uncultured bacterium. RNAcentral describes it as "partial 16S ribosomal RNA". It matches the Rfam family "Bacterial small subunit ribosomal RNA", at positions 28 to 507 of the family's 1533-position model. The record is from RNAcentral.
GACGAACGCUGGCGGCGUGCUUAACACAUGCAAGUCGAACGGCAAGGCCCUGCUUUUGUGGGGUGCUCGAGUGGCGAACGGGUGAGUAACACGUGAGUAACCUGCCCUUGACUUUGGGAUAACUUCAGGAAACUGGGGCUAAUACCGGAUAGGAGCUCCUGCUGCAUGGUGGGGGUUGGAAAGUUUCGGCGGUUGGGGAUGGACUCGCGGCUUAUCAGCUUGUUGGUGGGGUAGUGGCUUACCAAGGCUUUGACGGGUAGCCGGCCUGAGAGGGUGACCGGCCACAAGGGGACUGAGAUACGGCCCAGACUCGUACGGGAGGCAGCAGUGGGGAAUAUUGCACAAUGGGCGGAAGCCGGAGGCAGCAGCGCCGCGGGCGUGAUGACGGCCUUCGGGGUGUAAACCGCUUUCGCCUGUGACGAAGCGUGAGUGACGGUAAUGGGUAAAGAAGCACCGGCUAACUACGUG